This 6021-nucleotide long non-coding RNA is filed under the name Daucus carota (carrot). RNAcentral's name for it is "long non-coding RNA (DCAR_LNC004268)". Lineage: Eukaryota; Viridiplantae; Streptophyta; Magnoliopsida; Apiales; Apiaceae. The record is from RNAcentral.
UAGAAAAUAUGAUCUCAUCUAUUCUUUUGCUUAUAGGUGGCACUAAAUACUUGUUUGAACAAUCAAAUUACACUGCAAGGUGAUCAAAAAAUCACCUUCCGAUGUAAUUUUGGACUACAUAGUUGGUGAUUGGAACAGUAUACUAUGCAUGCCUGUAUUCAUAACCAUCAGUAACUUAAAACUAAACUCGUAAUAUGGUCUAUUAACACCGCAAGCCUGGACCUUUUUUCUGUAAUACAUUAAGAUAUCAUGUCCUAUCUUGAGCAGAGAAAAAAAAUUGGUAUUCAACUAACCACACAUUCUGUAAGAAAACAAAAAAAAAAAAAAACUCUAAACCCACCGUCUGCACUACAAGAAAAACAGGGUCAUACAACGGUUUAUCACCGUUGUCUGUCAUAUCAGGAUUCCGUUGAAUAUCGAGGCGAUAUCUGAUUAAGUGUCACACAAUGGUUAUUCAACAGUUGUUGAAACGAGAUUGCCACAAUGGUUUCAGAACACUUGUUUGAAAGAACAUGACACAACAACUUGUAAAAGAAAACCGGUUGUUGAAACCACUUAACACAAUAGUGUAGUGGAAGAAAUACUUGUAUGAAAUAUUUUCACACGACAGUUUUUUAAUGUAACCUUUGUUUGUUUGCUUAUAUACAAGUGUUUUAUAGAAAUGCACAAUUGUUUGGAAGCUCAAGCACAAUGUCAAAGUUUAUUUAAAGUUUAUUUACACGGUUGUACUUAUUAUACACACACAAUGGUUUAACAUAUAAAAACUGUUAUCUGAAAGCUUAGCUGCAACAAUUUAGAUCCAAAACUCAGUUUUUUUUAUUUAACACACAAUGGUUUAUAUAACUUAAAACAAUUGUUUUAAAGUGUAUGCAAAACAGUAUAGUUCAUACCAAAUGUUAUUUUUAGUUUAGUUACACAAUGGUUUAGCAAAUAAUCCAUUGUUUCUGUUUCUUCAUAAAAGGUGGUUUACUAGUUUUUGAUAUAUAACUUGUCCUCAUGCAUUUACAAAAAUAUCAAAUACAAUAACUACAUGAAAAAUUAAUNNNNNNNNNNNNNNNNNNNNNNNNNNNNNNNNNNNNNNNNNNNNNNNNNNNNNNNNNNNNNNNNNNNNNNNNNNNNNNNNNNNNNNNNNNNNNNNNNNNNNNNNNNNNNNNNNNNNNNNNNNNNNNNNNNNNNNNNNNNNNNNNNNNNNNNNNNNNNNNNNNNNNNNNNNNNNNNNNNNNNNNNNNNNNNNNNNNNNNNNNNNNNNNNNNNNNNNNNNNNNNNNNNNNNNNNNNNNNNNNNNNNNNNNNNNNNNNNNNNNNNNNNNNNNNNNNNNNNNNNNNNNNNNNNNUAUGUGUACCACAGAUCAUGAAAUAACGAGAUGCUCUUUCCCUAUUCAUUCCAAAGGUUAUCUAGUUCACAAAUUCUAUUGUUGGACAUCCUACUAUACCAAAGUGCAUCUCCAGGUGCCUGAGGUGUGUAUUGGUCAAAUUCAUUUAUGGUAUCUAGCAAUCAAUAUUCCAGAUUUAAGAGACUCAAUGACAGAUAUUAAUUUCAUAACUAGAACAUGUGUUGGAAGCCAUUGACGUCACUAUCCAACUAUCGACAGACUAACUAGGCAAUAGGUUAUAUCUGAUAAACUACUUUAAUCACCAACAUAACCAAGUUUAAGAGACAAUUAACGGUAAAGAGACAACUUUAAGAUUUUAAACACAAAAACACCCAUUUUGAGAUAUAUAUUCAAGGAUAACAAGAAUUAGCACAUCAAAAUAUUCAAGUAAUUUUUGUGAUAGAUAAGUCAAAACAAAUACAAAACUCAAGAUUUCCAUUAAUAAACAAGUGAUUUCUCUUAAGAUUUUAACAGAAUGGAGCUACCUCAAAGCCAGAGAGUUGCUCCUUAGUAAACUUAAUGGUCAAACUGGUAACAACGACAGCAUUGUUAAGCUCUUGCAGCUUGCUGUUGAACAUAAACAAGUGCCCUGCUCUUACCAACAUCAUUCUGUGUGAAUAUAAAGUUGCUAGACAAAUCCAACAAUUCACCAUUGCCUUUGUCAUGCAGGGUCACGGACUUGAAACCAAGUAUAAGAUUCUUUGCUACAUUAGAUUAGAAGAAUAUAUUAUUCAACUUAAAAAGUUUCGGAAAAUUAGAUAGACAUAUGAGGUCAUUUUUAGUCCCAAGAUGGGCAGACACCCUGGACCAUAUAUGCUAAUAUGUAAAAACAAUAAAAACAUAAAUCAAUAGGCAUGUUUACUAUGAGAAACACAUACUUACCAUAGGCAUAUAUCCCUAAAAGAGGAUUCUCCUGCAAUUUCAUAGAACAAAAAAAUGUCAUAACUUAAUGGUAAAAUGUGAACAUGGGAAUAUACUUUGUUCGAAACAAUCACAAUUACAAAAUACCGGUUAAUACCUAUCAUAAUUAGUGAGUAUCAACAAGCCCCAAAUCCAAAUCUCUAACUUACAUAAUAAUAUAGCCACAAAUCGAAGCCAUAAUUCACUGAACAAGCUCCAAAUCGAAAAUCCAAAUCGAGGAAGCACUGAAAUCAAAGAGAGAGAUAACUUAAUUGAAGUUUCACCCAAUACAUCCAAUUAAUUGAACUCAAAAAUGAAGAACCCUAAGCUGAAAAAGCCUCAUCCGAAAUCUUCAAAAUGGAACACAGAUCAAUCGAGAAGUCUAAAUUUGAAACAAAAUACAUACUACUUCGAAGAAAUUAAAGAAUUUGAAGAGACUUUUACAAGAGAUAGUUGUACAAGAGAGAGUGAAAGAGAUAGAAAUUGAGAUCUAUGUUUUGUUAAAAGUGAAGCAGAGGAACAAAAUUAAUGGGCGGCAUAUUUGCCGCUCUACUAUUUCAUGGGCCUUUGUGCCAUUUAAUAUUAUUAUAGAUAUAUAUUUAAUUUUUUUGAGACUUUAAAAUAAAAAAAUUUGCAUCUUAUAAUAUAUAAUAAUUUUUAAGUUAAUUAUGUUUAUUAUUAUGCAUAAAAAAUUAUGCAUCUUAUUUUAGUGACAUACAAAAAUAAUAAAAAAAUAAUAAAUUUAUUUUGUACGACUUAUUAAGAAAGAUCUAAUGAAAUUACUAAAUCCCUAAAACUUGACUCGUGCCAGAUUAAUAGAAAUAUUUUUUAAAAUAAAUUUUUCAUCGAUCUAACCGUACGGAUGUUAUAGCCACUCAUUUUAGUCAUGUAAAAAAAUAAAUAAAUUUAUCUUGAUUAACUUUUUAUUGAAAUUCUAGUAAAAUUACAAUUCCCCAAAACAGAAUUUGUAACUGAUUAACUGAAAUAUUAUUUGAAAUAAAUUUUUCAAUGAUCCAACCGUACGGAUGUUAAUACCCACUCAUUUUAGUAUUUUACUAAAAUAAUCAAAAAAUAAAAAAUUGAUCUUGUACAACUUCUUAAUAAAAAUCUAGUAAAAUUACUAGUCUCUAAAAUGAGAUUGGUGCCGGAUUGACUGAAAUAUUUUUUGAAAUGAAUUUUUCAACGAUCCAACCGUACGGAUGUUAAUACCCACUUAUUUUAUUCAUGUACAAAAAUAAUCAAAAAAUAACAAAUUUAUAUUGUAUGACUUUUUAAUAAAAAUCUUAUAAUAUUACAAGUCCCUAUAAUGUGUCUCGUGCCAGAUUAACUGAAAAAUUAUUUGAAAUGAAUUUUUCAACGAUCUAACCGUAAGGAUGUUAAUACUCACUUAUUUUAUUCAUGUACAAAAAUAAUCAAAAAAAUAAUAAAUUUAUAUUGUAUGACUUUUUAAUAAAAAUCAAAUAAUGUUACUAUUCCCUUACAUGAGACUCGUGCCAGAUUAACUGAAAUAUUUUUUGAAAUAAAUUUUUCAAUGAUUCAACUGGACAGAUGUUAAUACCCACUUAUGUUUGUAAUGUAGAAAAAUAAUCAAAAAAAUAAUAAAUUUAUCUUAUAAAACUUUUUAAUAAAAAUCUAGUAAAAUUACUAGUCUCUAGAACAAGAUUCGUGCCAGAUUAACUGAAAUUUUUUUUGAAAUGAAUUUUUCAACGAUCCAACCGUACUGAUGUUAAUACCCACUUAUUUUAUUCAUGUACAAAAUCCAACAAAAAAUAAUAAAUUUAUCUUUUAUGACUUUUUAAUAAAUAUCUAGGAAAAAAACUAGUCCCCAAAACUGGAUCGUACCAGAUGAACUGAAAAUAUUUUUUCAAAUGAAUUUUUCAAUGAUCCAACCGUACGGAUGUUAAUAUCCACUUAUUUUAGUCAUGUACAAAAUUAAUCAAAAAAUAAUAAAUUUAUGUUGUAUGACUUUUUAAUAUAUAUCUGGUAAAAAUACUAGUCCCCACAACGGGAUUCGUAGCAGAUUAACUGAAAUAUUUUUUGAAAUGAAUUUUUCAACGAUCCAACCGUCCGAAUGUUAAUACCUACUUACUUUAGUCAUGUAAGAAAAUAAAAAAUCGUUAAUUUAUCUUGUAUGACUUUUUAAUAAAAAUACAGUAAAAAUACUAGUCCCGAAAACAGGAUUAACUGAAAUAUUUUUAAAAUGAAUUUUUCAACUAUCCAACCCUAUAUAUGUUAAUACCCACUUAUUUUGGUCAUGUACAAAAAUAAUCAAAAAAUAAUAAAUUUAUAAAUUUAUCUUGUACGACUUUUUAAAAAAAUGCUAGUAAAAUUACUAGUCCCUAAAAUAGAUAUUGUGCCACAUUCGUUGAAUUAUUUUGAUAAAAAUCCGUUGUUUCCUUAAUGAACCUUCUAGAAUAAGGUCUAAAGACAAAAGUUAUUUCAUUAAAGAUUGUUGUCUCAUCUUUCCUAGAAAGUUCUAGAACGAGUCUUUUAGACAACGGUUUUCUAUGGGAAAAUAUUCUCUGAGAAAAUCUGUGACAACAUUUCUUUUGACAAAAACCGUUGUGUAAGCGUAUCAACUUUUUUUAAUCUGACGACUGAUUUUAAAUCUCCUUUCAAUCAACGGCUCUCAUUGCACCAUCUCAGCAAUCCAAGUGAUAGUCUUAUGACUAAUCAUAUGGUGCCACCUCAUCAUGUGGUGUCUAUCGAAAUUCUAAAAGAGUUAUUUCAGACAACUGUUUCCAUCCCGUUGUGUGAUAUUGUAUAGGACAAUAUAUUCGAAAAACCAUUUUACAAACUUUUUAAUUUGUACAACACAGUUUCAAAAAGGCUUGUCUAAUUCAUUAAUUAGACAAUUGUUUUGAAACCGUUGUAGUGAUGUUUCUUAGACAAUGUUAUUUUUUUUAAUGAAAUGUAACCGCUGUGUGAAUUACACAACAUCGCGUUAAAAACCAUUGUCUUAACGAUCUAUAUUCACAACGGUUACUAGACCAUUGUGUCAACAAUGUCACACAACACUUUCAAAAAUAAAGCUUGUCUGUCAAGUUUUGAAGAUUACCACAUAGACAAUAGUUUACGUAACUAAUGUCUAUUCCGCUCUCAGACAACGGUAUGUUAAGGAAAAAUAUUUCUCCGUUGUAUGUCAGAUUGGCACAACGGAAUUUUUCCAAACCGCUGUGUAAUGUGUGUUGUCUGAGGCUGUUUUUCUUGUAGUGCUGACUCAUUUCUCGGAAUCUGAAAACCCAACUUCUUCUCCUUAGGUGCUUAGCAAUAAUUCCUUGAUCACACCCAUGGCAACAAUAUAAGCGCUUUUCCAAACUAUAUUGCCUUUACUACUGAACUAAAACUUGACGAAUUCAACAAUUCACUGACGGACUCAUGAUUUAGUAUCUUAAUCUGAGGCACCCAAAUGGUGUAAAUCAUCCCACGCCAAGCUAUAUACCAUCACCACCUGCAAGGCUGCAGCAACUUGGGAGCCCAAACUGUAGACCGAACAAACACCAUCACCAUGUCAAAACUUUAUAUAUAAGAAGAAACAUUGGCCUUAUAUCAAAUUUGGUAUUUAGCACCACUGAACAUGGGCAGAAAAGCAAUGACACAUACGCACAUAUGCGAGUUUUUGUAUCUUCUAAGCAAAAUGCAUACACUAACUAAAAUUGUCUAAAAAAACUGAAGAUCUACUUUACCAAGCUAACCGUUUAUUUGAGCCGGUACUUGCUAAAAACUGAUGCAUGAUGUCUAGCUUUUCC